Molecule: ribosomal RNA, 482 nt
Filed under: uncultured bacterium
Lineage: Bacteria
Description: partial 16S ribosomal RNA
Rfam family: Bacterial small subunit ribosomal RNA
Source: RNAcentral
AUUGAACGCUGGCGGCAUGCUUUACACAUGCAAGUCGAACGGUAACAGGUCUUCGGAUGCUGACGAGUGGCGAACGGGUGAGUAAUACAUCGGAACGUGCCUAGUAGUGGGGGAUAACUACUCGAAAGAGUAGCUAAUACCGCAUGAGAUCUACGGAUGAAAGCAGGGGACCUUCGGGCCUUGUGCUACUAGAGCGGCUGAUGGCAGAUUAGGUAGUUGGUGGGGUAAAGGCUUACCAAGCCUGCGAUCUGUUGCUGGUCUGAGAGGACGACCAGCCACACUGGGACUGAGACACGGCCCAGACUCCUACGGGAGGCAGCAGUGGGGAAUUUUGGACAAUGGGCGAAAGCCUGAUCCAGCAAUGCCGCGUGCAGGAUGAAGGCCCUCGGGUUGUAAACUGCUUUUGUACGGAACGAAAAGCCUGGGGCUAAUAUCCCCGGGUCAUGACGGUACCGUAAGAAUAAGCACCGGCUAACUACGUG